UUUAUUAUAAGUAUAAUCUGCUCCAUGUAAUAUAAAUAGCCGCNGAAUAUUAACUGUGCUAAGGUNGCAUAAUCAUUUACCUUUUAAUUAAAGGUCUGUAUGAAUGAUUAUACAUUUAAAUUUCUUUUUUAUUAAAUUUCAUUAAAUUUGAAUUAAGUAUAAAAAUGUACUUAUGUGAAAAAAAGACGAUAAGACCCUAUUGAACUUCACUUAUGUUUAGCUGGGGAAGCUAAUUAAAUACAAUUUUAAUUAAAAAAUUUAGAAAAAAUUCUAAUAAUGAUUAAUUUAAUAAGUUACCAUAGGGAUAACAGCGUAAUAUAAUUUUAAAGCUCAUAUUAAAAAUUAAGCUUACGACCUCGAUGUUGAAUUAGAAUUCCUUUAAGACGCAAUAGUUUUAAAAGGGGGUCUGUUCGACCCUAAAAAAUCUACA
RNAcentral lists this ribosomal RNA (430 nucleotides) under Gongylidiellum vivum. RNAcentral describes it as "partial 16S ribosomal RNA". It matches the Rfam family "Bacterial large subunit ribosomal RNA", at positions 1842 to 2600 of the family's 2925-position model. The record is from RNAcentral. Lineage: Eukaryota; Metazoa; Arthropoda; Arachnida; Araneae; Linyphiidae.